RNAcentral lists this ribosomal RNA (463 nucleotides) under uncultured bacterium. RNAcentral's name for it is "SSU rRNA". It matches the Rfam family "Bacterial small subunit ribosomal RNA", at positions 26 to 518 of the family's 1533-position model. The record is from RNAcentral.
AGGACGAACGCUUGCGGCGUGCCUAAGAAAUGCAAGUCGAACGAGAGCUUCGGCUCGAGUGGCGAACGGUCGCGUAACACGUGGGCAAUCUGCCCUGAAGCGGGGGACAACAUUCCGAAAGGAGUGCUAAUACCGCAUGUGGUUCCGGAAGGCAUCUUCCGUAACUAAAGCCUUCGGGCACUUCAGGAUGAGCCCGCGGCCUAUCAGCUAGUUGGUGAGGUAACGGCCCACCAAGGCUACGACGGGUAGCUGGUCUGAGAGGACGGCCAGCCGGAUUGGGACUGAGAUACGGCCCAGACUCCUACGGGGGGCAGCAAUUAGGAAUCUUGCACAAUGGACGAAAGUCUGAUGCAGCGACGCCGCGUGAGGGAUGAAAUUCUUCGGAAUGUAAACCUCUUUAUUUGGGAAGAGAAUGUGACGGUACCAAAUGAAUAAGCCCGGCUAACUACGUGCCAGCAGCCGC